This 695-nucleotide ribosomal RNA is filed under the name uncultured eukaryote. RNAcentral describes it as "SSU rRNA". It matches the Rfam family "Eukaryotic small subunit ribosomal RNA", at positions 591 to 1294 of the family's 1831-position model. The record is from RNAcentral.
CUCAUAGCGUAUAUUUAAGUUGUUGCAGUUAAAAAGCUCGUAGUUGGAUUUCGGGCCCAGGCGGCCGGUCCGCCGUUUCGGUGUGCACUGGUCGGCUCGGUCUUUCUGCCGGGGACGCGCUCCGUCUUGACUGCCGGACGCGGAGUCGGCGACGUUACUUUGAAAAAAUUAGAGUGUUCAAAGCAGGCUUACGCUCUGAAUACUAUAGCAUGGAAUAACACGAUAGGACUCCGAGCCUAUUUUGUUGGUCUUCGGGACCGGAGUAAUGAUUAAGAGGGACAGUUGGGGGCAUUCGUAUUACGGUGUCAGAGGUGAAAUUCUUGGAUUUCCGUAAGACGAACUUCUGCGAAAGCAUUUGCCAAGGAUGUUUUCAUUAAUCAAGAACGAAAGUUGGGGGCUCGAAGAUGAUCAGAUACCGUCGUAGUCUCAACCAUAAACGAUGCCGACUAGGGAUUGGAGGAUGUUAAUUCGAUGACUUCUCCAGCACCUUAAGAGAAAUCAAAGUUUUUGGGUUCCGGGGGGAGUAUGGUCGCAAGGCUGAAACUUAAAGGAAUUGACGGAAGGGCACCACCAGGCGUGGAGCCUGCGGCUUAAUUUGACUCAACACGGGGAAACUUACCAGGUCCAGACAUAGUAAGGAUUGACAGAUUGAGAGCUCUUUCUUGAUUCUAUGGGUGGUGGUGCAUGGCCGUUCU